Pelobates cultripes (western spadefoot toad) is the source of this 276-nucleotide non-coding RNA. The record is from the annotation of a GenBank genome assembly. NCBI's taxonomy places the organism in Eukaryota, Metazoa, Chordata, Amphibia, Anura, Pelobatidae.
GCUGCAACAAUCGGUUUGCUGUCUCAGAGAAGCUCAUCUGCAUACUCGUCGUCCUUAUCGGUGUCUCGACCUGACUGCAGUUCGUCAUCAUAAUCGAUUUGAGUGGGCAAAUGCUCACAUUUGAUGGCAUUUUUGAGAGGUGUUCUCUUCACGGAUUAAUCCCAGUUUUUACUGUACAGGGCAGAUGGCAGACAGCUUGUAUGGCGUUGUGUGGGUGAGCGGUUUGCUGAUGCUCUGGAUCAGCGUAUACGGCAGCGUGUUCCAGGUCCUGCCAAC